AGCAAGACAAAUAGGUUAAUGUGAUUCUACGCAUCGUUACAAGCAAUUUACACAUAGAGAACAUGUCCAACGGAGCUAUGGUUCAACAACUACAAGCUAAACAAGAAAUCACUACAAUCUGCCAAAACCAGCCACAUAGCAUUUUCUACACCCUACAACUAUGAGCUACACAAAUCCAAUAUGCUCAACCACGGCAUGAAGCAAUAGAGGCAAGAUGCACUACCACAUGCAACUUAUAACACCUAGCAUGGAAGCAUGGAUCACUAGGACAAGAAGUCACAAAAUGGCUUCUCACACACAGUUUCAGACUUGGUGAAAAUAACAGUUUAUGAAACUGCAGUUUUCGAUCUGAAGGCAUAUUGACAGCAGCAAAACCAUAAGCUACAUGACUCCAAAUGGCAUGAAAAUUCACAACAUGCUAGA
Molecule: long non-coding RNA, 423 nt
Filed under: Hordeum vulgare
Lineage: Eukaryota; Viridiplantae; Streptophyta; Magnoliopsida; Poales; Poaceae
Description: long non-coding RNA (HVUL_LNC009067)
Source: RNAcentral